This 233-nucleotide ribosomal RNA is filed under the name uncultured bacterium. Its description in RNAcentral is "partial 16S ribosomal RNA". It matches the Rfam family "Bacterial small subunit ribosomal RNA", at positions 99 to 334 of the family's 1533-position model. The record is from RNAcentral.
CGGACGGGUGAGUAAUGUAUAGUUAAUCUGCCCUUUAGAGGGGGAUAACAGUUGGAAACGACUGCUAAUACCCCAUACUCCUUUUAUCUUAAUGGUAAUUGGGAAACGUCUCUUCGCUAAAGGAUGAGACUAUAUGGUAUCAGGUAGUUGGUGGGGUAAGAGCCUACCAAGCCAAUGACGCCUAGCUGGUCUGAGAGGAUGAUCAGCCACACUGGAACUGAGACACGGUCCAG